GAAAACCCAUAAAUACACAGAACCCAAGACUUUCCUACUCCAAAAAUUUUCCCUUCAGAAAAUUUUGGCAAAAAAAAUCUUCCCUCCGUGCCUCUUUAUUUAAUUGAAGAAUAAUCUCAUAUACAAGUAAAGAUGAAACAUUUUCGCUUUCUUUAAUUGAAGAAGAAUCUCGAUCAUAUACAAGGUAAAGAUGAAACGACCUACACCUUCAAUAAUACAAAGAGACGAGAUUUGAAGCAACAAUUUGAAAUGCUAGUGAUUUGUACUGAAUACAAACAAUAUGGGUAAGUAAUUUAUAGAUUUUUGGGUUUAUCGAUAUAUAAUUCAUACUUCUGUACUUUUCCUUGGAUUGCUUUAUGAAUAUUAAUGUCGUUAGUAAUUUUUUUUUGUAAUAUCUAUUUUUCUUCCGCUUGGUAGAAACACGGAUUAUAGGGUAUAAAGUCCUUAAGUCUGGUUUGUAGGCCUGCUUUAGGUUCUAAUUAAUUUCAUUGAUUUGUGUUCUUCGUCAAGUAGUCUUCAAGGUAUGCCCUUCAAUCCUAUUUAUUUUCUGAUAUAAACUGAUGAAUUUGAAGUCUUGAAUGAACGGAUUUGGUUUAGUUUUACUAUCGGUCGAUUCAAUCUUGGUUGUCGGUUUUCGUCUUUCUUGAAAUAUGUCAAUGUUGAAUUAUAGAUCUUGUUUUAUCAUUAGAUUUUCAGAGAGAGUUGAAGUAUAUUAGAUAUAGGAUUUAAUAAAAGGAAUUAGAAAAAAUUAUGAGCUAAAGCACGACUAUAGUUCAAUAUACUUGUUUUUGGCCUUUGAUUUAUUAUUGUUUGAAUUGUAUUGUUAUGUUGUGGGGAUUUUAGCUAUGAUAAUCUUGAUAAGAGAGAAGUUCAACUUAUUAGUAACUUGGUUCUUAUACUCUAGCAAUUCAGGAUUAUGUUUCAAAUACAUGUACCGGAAAUUUUGUAAUUUUGUUUGGAGUUAAUGUCUUUUUUACUUGUUUUUGGGUUAAAAGUUGGUUAAGUAAUUUUUUCUUUGGGAGCUAGAAACUGAAGUUGAUUCAUAUAAGGCCGACUUUGCUACUGUUAAUAUGUAAACUGCAUGAUGACAUACACAUGAAACAUUCGUAUUAGAUAAUGAUGCAGCAAAAGUUCAUAUUGUAACCUGCAUAUGGAAGACAAAAAUGUAGCAAGCUCUUCAUCAGAAACAUAGAAGAGGCUAAGCCAAUCUUUCCACUCUAGAGCGUUCUCUGCUUGAGAAGAAAGAUUGUCCCAUAACUUAUGAGUUGCUUUCUUUAUAUUGUCCAACACUAUCAUUUGUAUCCCAGGAUUGUUAAUCUAAAAGAAACCUUCUUUUCUCUACUGCAUUGCAUAUCAUAUCUAGCACCACUUGAUCAUUUGGGUUUGACACGUCGAUGACAGGAAUGGACUCCUCAGUUAGUACAGUGCUAGUAGAGAUCUGUUCUCGAGGAGGUUGAACAAAUAUAUUGCUGAGGUAAUGUUUGAAGGACUAUAUCAGAAAGACCCUUAACUCCAUGACCUUCAUCUACUACACAAUUUUUUACAUCCAUCCAGUCAUAUAGAAUUCUUCAAAGUGUUGGAGCCAUAAGUGUUACAAUAAGCAUGAUAGUUUUCAAUUCAGAAUUUCUAGUCUGUCUUGCAAUUAAUAUUUUCUUAUUUUGUGAUGGAUGUUGAAUAGAGCUUUCAUUGUGAAUUUAGGCCAAAUGCAGUAUUUUCUAGUAGAAACUUAUCUUUUGGGAAAUUGAUUGAAGUAGUUGGAAUGUUGUGGGAUUUAGAUGGUUGGAAGUGGAAAGUUGAUUUAUUGGUUUUUGGAAGUGAGGGAAUUAAUGGAUAUGACAAAAUUAUUUUGGAAUGGUUAAAUUGCAUGGAUUUUGGAAUAGUUAAAUUUCCUGGUUUUUGGAAUAAUUAAUGGAAAUUAUUCCCCCAUUGCGUCACUUCAUUUUAUGUGGUGAUCGAGUCUGUUGUUUGUUAGAGGGACUUUACUAUAUUUCACCCAUAUAACAGAGUAUGUAUUCAUGCUUUACUCAAUCAUUCAUCUUGCUUUAGCCUCAUGAUUUCAUAUUCAUUGUACUCCUAAUUUUGUUAUGUAAUAUCUAUAUUCUUUUCUUUGCAGAAAGCAUCAUCAAUGGAUAUAAUGAACCAAUUGAACAAAAAGAACAGUCAUCGUAUCAGUUCACAUCCUUACUCAUACGUAGUGAAAGAGAUGAUAAAGGUAAUGAAUGUAUAUGUUAUCAAUAUGUACUUAAGUAAAUAAUUUUGCUAAUAAUUUGAAUAUAGUGUUUGAAACAUAAUUGUUAACUAUUAGGACGAUACAAGGUUUUCUGAAGUAGACACCUUUGAGUUCGCUUAUGCAGGAAAUAAUAAAUGUUACACUUAUACUGCAGCUAAGGCUCAACACUUAAGAAAGACUCAACGCUAUAACUUUUAUAUUGCUUAUCAUGUGCUAUAUUACUGGUGUAUAGCUAUAUUAUAUCUCUUGCAUAUUUUAAUUAUACAUGGGUUGUGUUUGUAGGAUGAGAUGCUUGUAAAAAAAUAUGAAUAUCUUGUAAAGAGGUAAAUGAGCACUAGCUUCCCGAAGAUAUCCCUUUGGAGGAAUACCUAUAGAUAAUCCUAAGGUUGGACUUAAUAUCAUGAUGUCCGUUCUAAGUGCAAAUCCCGGACAUCAAAUUCGUGGGCUGAAAGAUGGUUACCUUUGAGACAUUAAGACAUCUUCUUCCAAUGUACGCAAUAUGGAGGAGUUAGAAGCAGAAUGUGCUGCUCGAGUGAAAAUGGAGCAAAGGAUACAUAAUAAGCUGAAGGUUGUUAAGCAACUAUUCAAUUCUAUUCUGUAGUCUUGGCAUCACUCUAUGCAUCAGUUACGUUGUAAAGUUCCUAGCUUCGUGGUAACAUCAUUUACACUAUUGUCAAUAGAGAUUAACAUCAUUGAGAAAAAAUGAUGCUAUUCAUGAGGACAAAGAGAACAACAUUGGAGAGGAUCAGUUGAAUAUCUAAUUUACGAGGAUGAACAGUUAUGUUUUUGAGAUGCAUAAUAAUAGAUACAAAGAAUGUUUUAUAUCCAGGUGUAACCAUACUUACUCAAUGAUUUUUAUUUAUAGUUUCUUAAAAUAUUUUGGAUUCAAUAUUACAUUGAUUGGCACUACAUGUCUUAAUUGAAUUAUUGUUUUUUUUUUUGUAUCUUUA
Molecule: long non-coding RNA, 3180 nt
Filed under: Olea europaea subsp. europaea
Lineage: Eukaryota; Viridiplantae; Streptophyta; Magnoliopsida; Lamiales; Oleaceae
Source: RNAcentral